Molecule: ribosomal RNA, 439 nt
Filed under: uncultured bacterium
Lineage: Bacteria
Description: bacterial SSU rRNA
Rfam family: Bacterial small subunit ribosomal RNA
Source: RNAcentral
GACGAACGCUGGCGGUGUGCUUCACACAUGCAAGUCGAACGAGGUAGCAAUACCUAGUGGCGGACGGGUGAGUAACGCGUGGGAAUCUGCCUUAAGAUGGGGGAUAACGAGCCGAAAGGCUCGCUAAUACCGCAUAUGCCGAAAGGUGAAAGGAGUAAUCCGUCUUAAGAUGAGCCCGCGUCCGAUUAGCUAGUUGGUAGGGUAAAGGCCUACCAAGGCGACGAUCGGGUAGCUGGUCUGAGAGGAUGAUACAGCCACAAUGGGACUGAGACACGGCCCAUACUCCUACGGGAGGCAGCAGUGGGGAAUUUUACGCAAUGGGGGAAACCCUGACGUAGCGACACCGCGUGAGCGAAGAAGCCCCUUGGGGUGUAAAGCUCUGUCAGCUGGAACGAAAAAAAUGACGGUACCAGCAGAGGAAGCAUCGGCUAACUACGUG